RNAcentral lists this long non-coding RNA (2128 nucleotides) under Coffea arabica (coffee). RNAcentral's name for it is "long non-coding RNA (CARA_LNC007678)". Lineage: Eukaryota; Viridiplantae; Streptophyta; Magnoliopsida; Gentianales; Rubiaceae. The record is from RNAcentral.
CAGAGUACAGUAGAGAGUGGACAUAUGGCCCAUAAGGUCUUGACAUGAUAAAAUGAUUUCUCUUGGAACAAAUGGACAGCCGACUUUUUUGGUAUUUGAUAGAGGUUUUGGGAUAAAUGUGAUUGGGAUCAACACCAUAAUCAAUGUCCUCAUGAGAAGAAUAGCUAAAUGAUUAUGAUUUUAGUGGGGAGUUGAAGUCUCAAAAUGGUAGAGGAUCCAGUAACUUGAUAAUCAAGUAAGUAUACAAAACGUGGCACAUAACGACUUGUAACAAAAAGUCUCAGAUUUACUCAGCUGCAAAAAGAAUAACAGAGUAAAGUUCUACCAGAAAUUAGGAAGAUGAUUGAAAUCCAUGUCUGACCGAUCAACAAGGACCUUCAGCUCAUUCCCCAUUUCAUGUUGUUCCUUCUGAAGCAGUCUCACAGACUCUUCAACAGAGCGCGUGCAGAGUUGUACCUCAAUCAUCUCGAGACUUGAGCUGUCCCCAAAACCAGAGGGGACCUCCUUGAGCUGUCUGCAAUUUCGCAAAAUUAGGUGUUGAAGUUGUGGCAAGUGAUCACUAGAGGAUUUCCAUUCAGCAAUACUUAGAGUGUCAAGCUUCAAAAAUUUCAGUUUGAGGAAUUCACCUUCUUUCAUUUCCCACACUUUCCCCUCAAAAGCUUUACUGAGCAAUUUGAGAACCUCAAGGUUAGGUAAUCUCCCAAUCUCUGAAAUACAAUUCCAUGGCAGGCGAAAUUUUGACAGAGUUAACUUCCUGAGAUUCAAUGGCAAGUCAAAUUUACAAGGAGGAGCAAUCCUGCCCGAGUAAAGUAUAUUGAGGGAAUCAAGCUCUGUCAGAAAAUUCAGUAUUGGAAACUGAUUGCACUUCCCAGUAUCAUCACGUAAUUCAGAAAACAGACAUCUCAGUUUUUGAAGUUUGAGCAACCUCCUCAUGAUAUUUUCUGUACCUUCACAACAAAGGAGAUACGGAGAGGAAAAACUGACCAGAUUAAUUACUUGGGAAAUAAUUAUGCUCUCAUCAUCUUCCAAGGUGAUGGCAGCAUAAUUAUUGACAUGGAGAUGUCUCAAAUUUUCCAUACUCCAAAGAGUAUAAGGUAGUAGAACUUUACCUUUUAAUCCCUUGACAAUCAAAGUCUCAAGAUCCCUGAGAUGCGAUAUUGAAUCUGGAAUACUAUCUACAUCGCCACAAAGAGCUAAAAAUCUCAGACCAGCCAACACUAGUACUCCAGUGGGGAAAGAAUUCCCCAUAUUGAUGCAUUCCAAAUCCAGCACUCCAAGGAGUUUAAAGUUGUCAAAAAUGAAGGAGAUGUCAUAGGGACAUCUUGGAUACGAAUCACUGGUGGCAGAGUACAGUAGAGAGUGGACAUAUGGCCCAUAAGGUCUUGACAUGAUAAAAUGAUUUCUCUUGGAACAAAUGGACAGCCGACUUUUUUGGUAUUUGAUAGAGGUUUUGGGAUAAAUGUGAUUGGGAUCAACACCAUAAUCAAUGUCCUCAUGAGAAGAAUCAAAAAGUUCAUCAUAUCCAUUUUGGAACUGCAAAAAGUUUUCUUCUUGUGACUGACAUGUUUUCACUCCUCCAUUUGAUCUUCUCUUGGAAGGCAUUACUAGGCUUCUUCCAAUCAGAUCCCUCAAGUAUCUCUCCGCAGUAUCUUCUACACUUUCUACCCUAUUAUCUGUUAUGAAUCCUUCCGCUCUCCAUAACCAUGCCAACUUUCUGACUGGAAUGUCUUUAUCCUUCAAAAACACUGCAAUAUAAAGAAAACAAGGUUUCAAAUAGUUGGGCAAAUAAUUGUAGCUUAGCUCUAAGAUGUCCAUGCACCUCGUUUCAGGAUCAUCGGCAAUCCUUGAGCACAUACUUUCUGAAACUUGUUUCCACUUGUCCGGUGUCAUGUUACUUCUUUUAAGGAGACCAGCUAUUGCAACAACUGCAAGAGGGAGUCCUUUGCAACUUAUGGCUAUUUGCUUUCCAACUUCCAAGAGUUCAUCAGGGCACUCUUUUGUGUCAUAUAACUUCUUUUGUAACAACUUCCAGCUUUCGUCAUCAGAGAGUGGCCGAAGGAGAUGAGGACUACUAUAUGCUUUGAUUUUCUCAGCCACAUCAAAGUGACGCUGGUGAUCAGUACUCUGC